UGGUAUUUCAUAAUUUUGAUGUCUUCACUAUUAUUUAACAAUGUAGAAAAUAGUAAAAAAUAAUUAAAACCUUUGAAUGAGUAGGUAUGUCCAAACUUUUGACUGGUACUGUAUAUUCACUUUCUGGAUCUGCAGCUCCAAAUUUACCGUAAAAAUCAGUAUCACAGUUAUCACUAACCUUGUAACAUUGCAUACUGUUCGACAAUGCAAACAACUUUUCCUCUAAAACAUAUUAACUACACUUGAAUAAUGCAACGAUUCACAAGUAUAUAGACAAUUAAGGGGUUUAUUUUCAUGUUCGUACACGCAUUAAAUGUAGCUUGCAAGACACUACACAGAUAGCAUGUUAGCAUAUCAAACAUGAACAAUUCCCCUCUCAUUCGAAUAUGAAAGUACAGUUUCAGCACAUUAAAGUUACCUUAGAACAAACCAGGCUUCAUUUGAUCAGUAUCAUGGAAGUCAUUAUAUGAGGUCAAUGCAAAAUUGCGACUGAAAACGUUUUUCCUGGUGAGUUGAUCAGCUUCAUGCUGCAUGCUUCUUGACUGGAUUGUGACUCUGAGCAGCCAAAGCAGGAAAACACAGUUCAGCUUCCCUUUCUUAAAGCUACGGUGACAAUUUCAGAACGUAACCGGCUGUUACUGCAAUUUCAGUGGGAGGAAACUGUCGGGCGAGUGUCAUGUGCGAGCUCCGGAGGUAGCGUUCGAGACGUGAGAAAUAAGCAAGUUUACAUUACAGUUAUGUCUCAAGAAUCGAUACCUCUCAAGAAUCUCUCGAAAUGAUCCUUAAAGGGAUAUUUCGGGAUUUUGGCAAUUGCCCCUUAUCUAUUUCCCCAGAAUCAGAUGAAAUAUUGGAUACCUUGUUUAUGUCUCUGUGACAAGUAUGAAGGAAGUUAGAGGUAGUUUUGCAAUUCAAUGCUAACUAGCAUUAGCGCAAUGGCUGGAAG
This 943-nucleotide long non-coding RNA is filed under the name Salmo salar (Atlantic salmon). RNAcentral describes it as "lncRNA (ENSSSAG00000088559.1)". The record is from RNAcentral. Lineage: Eukaryota; Metazoa; Chordata; Actinopteri; Salmoniformes; Salmonidae.